Molecule: ribosomal RNA, 535 nt
Filed under: uncultured organism
Description: bacterial SSU rRNA
Rfam family: Bacterial small subunit ribosomal RNA
Source: RNAcentral
UAGCUAGAGUGCCGUUAGGAGUAGAGGGAAUUCCCCGGUGUAGCGGUGAAAUGCGUAGAGAUCGGGAAGAACAUCGGUGGCGAAAGCGCUCUACUGGACGGCAACUGACACUCAGGGACGAAAGCUAGGGGAGCGAAUGGGAUUAGAUACCCCAGUAGUCCUAGCUGUAAACGAUGGAUACUAGGUGUAGCUUGUAUCGACCCGAGCUGUGCCGAAGCUAACGCGUUAAGUAUUCCGCCUGGGGAGUACGCACGCAAGUGUGAAACUUAAAGGAAUUGACGGGGGCCCGCACAAACGGUGGAGUAUGUGGUUUAAUUUGAUGCAACGCGAAGAACCUUACCAGGGCUUGACAUGUCCGGAAUCCCGGUGAAAGCUGGGAGUGCCUUCGGGAGCCGGAACACAGAUGGUGCAUGGCUGUCGUCAGCUCAUGUCGUGAGAUGUUGGGUUAAGUUCCGCAACGAGCGCAACCCUCGUCUUUAGUUGCCAGCAUUAAAUUGGGCACUCUAGAGAGACUGCCGGUGACAAACCGGAGGAA